UCUCGGAGCCCGGCGGAACCUCUUCCACCUUUCCCUUCACCCUCUAAUCGGCCCUUUUCUCUCGGAUAUCCCCUUCCCAAGUCCGUUCGAGAUCAAACCAUCACAUUCCACCGCGUCCCCAACAAUGAAAAAGGUGGGGAGGAUUCCAGAGAAGUCAACACAGAAGUGCGACUUUUCAGAUGCUGGUGUGAACCGAGCAUAGACGCCGCAACUUGGAAAGCUUGACAAUAUAGCGGGUUAUGGCCGGUAUUUAAACACAUAUAACCCAGAUGAGUCCAAAUGUGGGGCAGCAUGUCGUGUGGGGAAACAUGCGCUUAUCCUAAGACAUCCAGCUCUUACAGCAUUGUGUGCAUCCGCUGGUCGGCGUCUCUGCGUGCAUUGUUGCUCUCAAGCUACUCUCUUAUUAAGCAGAAAAAAAGGAUGAUUCUGGAGUUACAACAUUUUAAAUAGGAAUCUUGUUAUUUUUUUUGUACAUUGUUAAAUAUGCUUCACACCAGUGAUGUUUUAAAAGUUAAAAAAAUAUUAGGUAUCAUUGUUUGCAGUGUUAUUAGUUGGUAAGAAGAAUUUGCUAAAUCUAAUUUUUUAUGGGGUUCUGCAUCCAUCCUCUUGGGAAGAUUCUUGUGUCCUACACAGGAGAGAAAGAACAGGUAGAAUUGGCUGACAAAUUUGGAGAGACACAAAAAAAACUUCCCUAAAAGGAUUAUGAAGAAUUUUGAGGGAAAUAUAUAAUAUUUUUUUCACAGUUGAAUUGCUACUCUGUAUUAGCUAUAAAAUAAGUAUCAUAAAGACAAACAUGAGAUUUUUCACCAUAGUGCCCUCUACAGUAUUGGCCAAAGUGGAGAACCUCAAACAUUUGUCAUAAAAUGCUAGCUCUCCAUACUUAAGGCCAUAACUGAGUCACUGCAAUGUAAUGAAUAUGGUGUUUAAGAAUAAAGCGGUAAAGACGUUUAAGAACAGAGUACAGAAAUCUAAGACAGCCUGAAUUUGGGAGAUCACUGCCACAUCUCCCCCGCUGUAAAAUGAGUACAAAAAUACUUCUAGGAUCUUAUGGUCACGUAUCAGGGACACAUUAUCGAGGCGGUGGGUCGGACGUGUUCCAACAAGCCCCUUUUUCCACACUUUGGUCUGAAAUGGGACUUGAACCAGCAAACAUCCCCAAGAUCCUAAGCGCUUAGGUUCUUAGCGUUUGUAGUUUCAUUUGGAACUUCGCCAAAAGUCUCAGGGCAGAGAAUAUCAAACAAGCUUUGAUCGACUAAAAAUCAAAAACACAACAUCCCCUUGUCAUGUCUCAUCUUAUUUAGAAGUACAGAUGUCCCUGCCUGUAGAGCCCCCGCCCCACCCUCCUUAUGCUCAAUUUCUCACUGUGGGGUGACAUUCCUCAAACUCAGCUUCUGGCAGGCAGUAAAUCUCCAUGAGAGAGAUCUUACACUGGCACGCUGUUCCUGGUGAUAUGUUUGGACAGAAGCAAUACCACAGCUUCAUAAGGGCAACCAUGUUUGUCACCGAUGUCACCGAGGGUGGAGUGUCGAAGGAGCAAAAAAAAAAAAGUGUCAACGGGAUAUGGAGCAUCCUGCACAUAUGGCCCCCACCCUUCCUGUCUCUUAGGCUCGAAUGGGUCCCAAACCGCCGGUCCGCGUACCAGUACCGGUCCACAGGGCAUUUGGUACCGGGCCGCACAGAAAGAACGUGCAUUCAUUCCGUUUUAUUUAUUUCGGAAUACGAAAGAUGUUUUAUUUUGAAAAAUUACCGGAUUCUCCGUUACAUCCGUCUUUGUCACACUUGACACACGUCAAGCCACGCUUCUGCGUCACGUGACCGAUUACGCUAAAAACACUGAGUUAAAAAAACUGCUGGAGCUCGUAAAUGACCGCGAGCUUAAAAGUACGUUCGAGUCAACUGAAUUAAAGUUAUGGCUGAAUAUUCUGAGAUCGCCACAAUAGCACUGAUGCUAUUUCAGACAUGCUACCUAUGUGAGGCGGGGUUUUCUGCAGCAACGGCGACUAAAAUAA
Hippocampus zosterae (dwarf seahorse) is the source of this 2009-nucleotide long non-coding RNA. RefSeq lists it as uncharacterized. The record is from RefSeq and is a predicted model, not a curated record. The transcript is spliced from 3 exons. Lineage: Eukaryota; Metazoa; Chordata; Actinopteri; Syngnathiformes; Syngnathidae.